GAGAAACAUAAAGUUCAUAACGUGUACAGGAACACACAAUCAUUGAAAUAAAAGAAAUUUCCUUGUUUAACGCGAAGAAUUUGCAUUGGCAAUGUAGAGACCGUUUGUCUUCUAUUAGUGAUAAUUGAUUUUUCAUGGCAGCGAUACGAUACUUACUCACUCAGUUGUCGUUUGACAUCAUGGGUGCAAAGGAGAGCAUUUUGAGCGCGGAACAACUAGAAGAGUACGUUGAAUUAACUUUCCUGACAAAAUGGGAAGUACAAUUAAUCUUGGAAAAAAUCUCGAGUCUUGCAACGGAUGAAAUAAGUGCAAAUCUGCAUCAACGCUUUUCUACUCGACAAAUUAUGGAUGCUUUUCCUCAACUUAAGUAUAAUCCUUUUCGCGAUCGUUUGUUCGAGUUAUUUUCCUCUGCAUGCGACACUCGAUGUUCAUUCGAGGAUAUUCUGGACAUGUUCAGUGUCAUGUCCGAAAACUGUCCACAAAGUGUAAAGGCAGCGUGGGCUUUUCGGGUUUUCGAUGUAGACAACGAUAACAUGAUUACUAAAGAGGAUAUCUACCUGAUAUGUGAUCGUUUAACGAAGUAUGAUCAACUGGAAGAUGCCGAAAAAGAAACCAUUGCCGAAGUGAUUCUCAAAGAAAUAGAUCUUCAAAAUAACGGCAGCCUGGGCGAAUUUGAGUUUGUACAUGUGAUAUCUAAAGUUCCCGAGUUCCAUAAUACAUUCUCGUUCAAACCCUGAUAACUACUUGGGGAUUUAGGAAAUUUAAUUUAAGCAUGGUUCAGCUCGUGCUUUCGUCUACUCUUUUUUGUCCAACUUUAUUUUAAAUCUAUGUAUAUAAGGACUGUCGCAACUUAACUGAGCAGCCCAUUAUUUACAAUAUUAUCCAUCAACAUGAUCGACAGAAUACCAUUACAAGGGAGCGACGUCGCCAAGCGUUUACGGUUCAGUGUUAUCGCCGUGGGAGCUGAAAGAAAUAUUCAACGAUAUGAGAAAAAUGUAACGAAGCUUCAAUUUUAGUUAAAAUUACACUUGCGUUCUUCAUUUGGGUUCGCAACAGCACCGGCAAAGGUUUUCAAUUGUGAGUUCGCUAAAAAUUUAUUAGUAAUGACAGACAAACAAAUUAUAACCUCAAGGAAAUUUAUCGUAUUUUUUUCUUUACCUAGAUUUUUUUGAUUUUCAAUUAAACACUACUCAGCAAAUUCUAUGAACAUAAAACCGACAAGAUAUUUUUUUAAUGAAUCAAAACAAGUGAUAUGCAAACUUGUGUUUGCUUGUUUGGAUAAGAAUAAUGGAUGCAUAACGGAAUUUGAGUUCUGUAAAAAUAACACAAAAAAAAAAGAUUUGUUCUUUUUUAAUCUUAGCAAAAACAAAUU
This is an RNA transcript of Wyeomyia smithii (pitcher-plant mosquito), 1372 nucleotides long. It is a transcript of the gene named calcium and integrin-binding protein 1-like, with no coding region annotated. Lineage: Eukaryota; Metazoa; Arthropoda; Insecta; Diptera; Culicidae. The record is from RefSeq and is a predicted model, not a curated record. The transcript is spliced from 8 exons.